CAAAUGGCUCUUUAAAGAGCCACCCACAGGUAUCACAAAAUGAGC
Non-coding RNA from Salmo salar (Atlantic salmon), 45 nucleotides. NCBI's taxonomy places the organism in Eukaryota, Metazoa, Chordata, Actinopteri, Salmoniformes, Salmonidae. The record is from Rfam.